This 495-nucleotide RNase P RNA is filed under the name Planctomycetota bacterium. Its description in RNAcentral is "Planctomycetes bacterium (hydrothermal vent metagenome) RNase P RNA component class A". It matches the Rfam family "Bacterial RNase P class A". From Rfam's summary of the family: Ribonuclease P (RNase P) is a ubiquitous endoribonuclease, found in archaea, bacteria and eukarya as well as chloroplasts and mitochondria. Its best characterised activity is the generation of mature 5'-ends of tRNAs by cleaving the 5'-leader elements of precursor-tRNAs. Cellular RNase Ps are ribonucleoproteins. The record is from RNAcentral. Lineage: Bacteria; Pseudomonadati; Planctomycetota.
GGAGUGGGCUGAGCGGUCGCCACGGCGUCGGGCGCGCAAGCGAGCCGGCGGCCGUGGAGGAAAGUCCGGGCUCCGCAGGACAGGGUGGUGGGUAGCGCCCACCGGCCGUGAGGCUAGGGAAAGUGCCACAGAGAACAGACCGCCGAUCGCCCAGCACCGGUCCCGCGGGCCGUUGCCAGAGCCAAGACAGGCUUCGGCACGGACACGGAGGACGGCCUGCGGGACCGGUGCUGGGAGGAGGUAAGGGUGAAACGGUGAGGUAAGAGCUCACCAGCAGGCCGGGUGACCGGCCUGGCUCGGCAAACCCCACCCGGAGCAAGACCAAGCAGAGGGGAGUGCGGCGGCGCGCCUUGGCGUUUUCGCCACGACUUGCCGCCGCCGCGGGCUGGUCCGGCCCGUUUGACCCUCGGGUAGGUCGCUUGAGGCGGCGGGUAACCGCCGUCCCAGAGAAAUGACCGCUCUCGACAGAACCCGGCUUACAGGCCCACUCCGGGU